Molecule: ribosomal RNA, 1333 nt
Filed under: metagenome
Description: bacterial LSU rRNA
Rfam family: Bacterial large subunit ribosomal RNA
Source: RNAcentral
GAAAAGCCACUAAGCUUCAGCUGUAGAAGAACCGUACCGCAAACCGACACAGGUAGGCAGGGUGAGAAUCCCAAGGCGCUUGAGAGAACUCGGGUGAAGGAACUAGGCAAAAUGGCACCGUAACUUCGGGAGAAGGUGCGCCUCUUGGUGUGGUCACGUGCGUGACUGAGCAUCGAGGGGUCGCAGUAACCUGGCCGCUGCGACUGUUUAUCAAAAACACAGCACUCUGCAAACACGAAAGUGGACGUAUAGGGUGUGACGCCUGCCCGGUGCUGGAAGGUUAAUUGAUGGGGUCAGCCGCAAGGCGAAGCUCUUGAUCGAAGCCCCAGUAAACGGCGGCCGUAACUAUAACGGUCCUAAGGUAGCGAAAUUCCUUGUCGGGUAAGUUCCGACCUGCACGAAUGGCGUAACGACAGCGGCGCUGUCUCCACCCGAGACUCAGUGAAAUCGAAAUCGCUGUGAAGAUGCAGCGUUCCCGCGGCAAGACGGAAAGACCCCGUGAACCUUUACUAUAGCUUUACACUGAACGUUGAGUUCUUCUGUGUAGGAUAGGUGGGAGGCUAUGAAACCAGGACGCUAGUUCUGGUGGAGCCAUCCUUGAAAUACCACCCUGAAGUGCUUGACGUUCUAACCUAGGUCCGUAAUCCGGAUCGGGGACCGUGUAUGGUGGGUAGUUUGACUGGGGCGGUCUCCUCCCAAAGAGUAACGGAGGAGCACGAAGGUACGCUCAGCGCGGUCGGACAUCGCGCACUGUGUGCAAAGGCAUAAGCGUGCUUGACUGCGAGAUCGACGGAUCAAGCAGGUACGAAAGUAGGUCUUAGUGAUCCGGUGGUUCUGUAUGGAAGGGCCAUCGCUCAACGGAUAAAAGGUACUCCGGGGAUAACAGGCUGAUACCGCCCAAGAGUUCAUAUCGACGGCGGUGUUUGGCACCUCGAUGUCGGCUCAUCACAUCCUGGGGCUGUAGCCGGUCCCAAGGGUAUGGCUGUUCGCCAUUUAAAGUGGUACGCGAGCUGGGUUCAGAACGUCGUGAGACAGUUCGGUCCCUAUCUGUCGUGGGCGUUGGAGAUUUGAGGGGGGCUGCUCCUAGUACGAGAGGACCGGAGUGGACGUUCCGCUGGUGUUCGGGUUGUCAUGCCCAUGGCAUUGCCCGGUAGCUACGAACGGAAGUGAUAACCGCUGAAAGCAUCUAAGCGGGAAGCACGCCCCAAGAUGAGAUCUCCCGAGAGCUUGACUCUCCUAAAGGCACCAUCAAGACUAGGUGGUUGAUAGGCACGGUGUGGAAGUGCGGCAAUGCAUUGAGCUUACGUGUACUAAUGAGCCGUGAGGCUUGAUC